AAUAUUGCACAAUGGGGGAAACCCUGAUGCAGCGACGCCGCGUGAGCGAAGAAGGCCUUCGUGUCGUAAAGCUCUGUCCUAAGGGAAGAAACGGACGGUACCUUAGGAGGAAGCCCUGGCUAACUACGUGCCAGCAGCCGCGGUAAUACGUAGGGGGCGAGCGUUAUCCGGAAUUACUGGGCGUAAAGGGUGCGUAGGCGGCCUUUUAAGUCAGAUGAGAAAGGCUACGGCUUAACCGUAGUUGACGUUUGAAACUAGAAGGCUUGAGUGCAGGAGGGGGGAGUGGAAUUCCUAGUGUAGCGGCGAAAUGCGUAGAUAUUAGGAGGAACACCAGUGGCGAAGGCGACUCUCUGGACUGCAACUGACGCUGAGGCACGAAAGCGUGGGGAGCAAAC
This 395-nucleotide ribosomal RNA is filed under the name uncultured bacterium. RNAcentral's name for it is "partial 16S ribosomal RNA". It matches the Rfam family "Bacterial small subunit ribosomal RNA", at positions 360 to 773 of the family's 1533-position model. The record is from RNAcentral.